ACAAUCCAACAGAUCUUCCAACCGGUAAACCAGAUGGGCUGGUGCAGACCAGCUGUCCUGACUGCAUCGUUAUAAAGACGGAGGACGACCAGAUCCUGAGUACUUUCUUGCUUUUAAGUAGGAGAAAGACUGUCACUACUGAUGAGCUGAAGGAGUUUGAGGCACAGGUCAAGUGUAUGGGCUGGUCCAAACCGCAGGUCUUAAACACAGAUCACGAGUACCAAAACUGCCUGUCACUUGAGACUGCUGAAGAUGAUUCUUCAAGAUUAUCAAACAUGAUUUAUGAAAGACUGAAAACCACGUACACCGAGCCCCUCCAGUGUCUUGCCGAAACCCUUAUGUAUUACCCCAAAACUGCCUAUGAGUGGGCUCAAGAAAGUUGGGCCUCUCUUUGGUAAAUGUGCUGGUGCACAGCUAUAAUAAAAAUUCACUCACACGAUCAGGUUUUUGUGAAAUGGUGCAACCCUGCUCAAGAUGUUGACUUGCUUGGUGGGGAACUGAUUACUGGUUGAUUUACUGUUUUAAAAGAUGAAGACUCUCUAACCCAAUAAGACCCCCUUUGUCUACAUUCAGGUUUUAAGUGGUGAUCUGUAGUGCUUUUCAACAACAUGUUCCCUCUUUCAGACAGUUCAGUCACCAUUAAUAAUGACUGAUUUUUU
Molecule: long non-coding RNA, 659 nt
Organism: Epinephelus fuscoguttatus (brown-marbled grouper)
Lineage: Eukaryota; Metazoa; Chordata; Actinopteri; Perciformes; Serranidae
Exons: 3
Source: RefSeq, a predicted model, not a curated record